CAAGUGUCUGAAGAUUUUAUUGAAAAUUAAAUCAACUUUCUACAGAAGAAAACAAGACACUUUUGGUUUUGUAGCACUGCACUAAACUGUUAUCCCUAAACAGAGAAAUAGUGAUUAAUUAGUAAUAAACAAAAAUACUUAUGCUAAUAUGUGUACAUCAUCACAAGUACAGUAUCUGCUAAGUAUCUGUUUACUUAGUGCUGCAAAACAUCUGGAAGUCGUUACUUAAUUCCUUUUCAUCAUCCAUGAAGUACAUCACCACUAUGUAGGAGGAAAGAACACUGCUUGAAUUCAGUAAAAGGACAACGACGCAACAAGAUGAAAAUAAAAUAUGCCUCUAGGGAUCAGGAGACGGAAGAAGAGUGCAGGAAAGAAAUACAAAAUAAGUGAUCAUGGCUAUUUUGUGCACCAGACAAAUGGACUCUUGUUUUAUUCAAUUUAUUACAUCUAAUUAUCAAAAUAAUCUUUUUUAAGCCACAGAAACUGCUACAAAAUAUCAUUAAAUAUAAUCUCUGAAACAUCAUUAAGCAUCAACUGCAGAUAUCCACACCAUAAAAGCUUUAUAUCACAUCUUCCACAUGACACACUUUGUCUUACAAGAAAAAACAACUGUAUAUUCAUACAUCACUUGAAGGACAUACAAUAGAUUUAAGGUUUUACGACUACAAGGGUCUACAAACUUAGCAAUUCUCAUUUAUUUUACUUAAUUCUUUUUUUUUUUUUUUUUUUAAUCCUUGAAGGUGUCACUCUAAUAAACAUAUUUUCCCAGAUGAAAUUAAGGUUCACGAUAUCAACAAAGUAUUGGGUCACAACUGAGUAACUUGAGAGUAAGCUGAGAUUUUUUUUUUUUUUUAAGACCUAUAAACAUGUGAAAAAUAGGGUAAAUCCUUCUAAAAAUGACAGUGACUACCCUGCAAGAAGAAAAAUAAAAUUCAAUUAAUUAGGAUUACUGAAUUCUACUUAUUAAAUAUAUUUUUUCUUAUCAAAUGUGGUGUAAAAUAUCAAAUCUAAAUGAACUUAGUGGUUGUCCUGGUGUCAGAUGGGACAGAGUUAAUUUUCUUCCUAGUAGCUGGUAUGGUGCUGUGUUUUGGAUUUAAGGAUGAAAACAUUGUUGGUAGUACGGUGAUGUUUUAGUUGUUGCAGUGCAGCGCUUACACAGAGUCAAGGACUCUCAGCUUCUCAUGCUGCCCUGCCAGCGAGGGGGCUGAGUGUGUACCAGGAGCAGAGAGAGGACACGGCCAGGACAGGUGACCCAGAGAGGCCAAAGGGACAUCCCACGUGUGGUGUUGUGCUGAACAAUAAAACUGGGGGGAGCUGGCUGAGGUGUGCGUGGGGCUGUUACUCAGGAGCUGGUUGGACAUCAGUAGGCUGGUGAUUUUCUGCUUGAAUAUAGACCUUUUUGGAAGAGCAGAAAGACAGGUAGCUCCUAGAUAGGACUGGAAUGAAGACACAAGGGCUGAGCUGGCACAGCAAACCAUACCUUUUGCUGGCUUCAAGGACAAGGAAAUGCACAGCUCACAGGCAGGUAGGUACCAGAGAAGCCACUGAUUGAUUUAGGGCAAAGAAGCCUAACUCCCUUCUAGGUGGCUGGCCUCUAAAGCAAACUUUUCCUCACUGGCUGGUCAGCAUCCCAGAAGACACAUUUCUCGCUGUUAUAAAGGCUUUGCAUGCUACUUGAUCAAGCCAGGCAGCCAAUAAUCAUACAUAUGCUAAUGAAACAUUUAGGUACCUGCAACAUUUAGGUUGCUAUCUGAUCAAACAUCAAACAUUUUUUCUACACACAUAGCUGUCAGCCUAUGAACUGCACAAUGUUAUUUAACCUGGGAAGGCAGUCACCAAAGUGGGUGCAGGCAGCAGCCUGUAAGUGAGGAGGGAAUUAGGGAGACACAAGGGUGGCUAUAAGAAAGAUGAGGUGUGAGAUGCUCAAGAAUUGCUAACAGAAACAACGGAAAGGCUGCAAAUGCAGUAGGAAGAGGAGAAUACAGCCUUACAGAACCUUUCAUGGCCUAUCCACUUAUUUAGAAAUUAUUUAUAAAGAGGAAAAAUACGUAGGCAAAAUACUUCCCAAGGAUGUUGUAAAUAUGCUGAGAAAUGCAUUAUAUACUGGGGAAACUGGAGAUAUAUUUAUGAGCACAGUCAGAUUUCAAAUAGCAUACCUAAUGCGCACACACACACAAAAGCCUUUGUAACUUCACUGUAGCAAAGUCAGUAUCUAUAACAUCUUCAUGAAGUGAUGCACCUUAUUAUAAUAAGAUCCAAGUGGGUUUCAAGACUGGUUUUACAUUUUUUUUUCUCCUUAGUAUCUUCUCACUGUAUUACGUACUUAUUUCCAUAUGAAGAUAACCUGUAUGGUAAAUCAGAAUUGUCCAGAAACAAGCCAAACAGUGAGUCAAAUGCAGAGGGCUUGCCUUGCCUUUUCCAGGAACUCAGGCAGCAAGACUCGGUGGUCUCUCAGGAGUAACCACAGGAUAGAAUAAAACUCCUAGAGACAACCUGCCUGCUGCUACUUUGGGUGCAUCAUCAAUAGCAUCGUGAAUUUAUAACAUGGCAAAGAUGCCAGGCAGCAGUACCAGGUCCUGUGCUGCUGUGGCACCCAGCACUGCCUGCCCCUGGAUGCUCCUAGUGAAUACAUGCUCCAGCUCACCUGCAGAAGCGGGCAACACUGCAAAGGCACAGAGAUACACUGUGCCUCUCCAUGAGCACACUUCUCUCUAUGAUUGAGAGAUUUAAAACAAGAAUUUUCUGUCCAGAAGUUCAGGAUAACAUUGGAUAAUGGUUCUGCAAAAGCACCUUCUUGAAAAGACACUGCUCAGGCUAAACGAAAAAAUAAACUAGAUCUACAUGUCAGUAAUUCCAGCAACAGAAAAAUAACCCAAGAGGAUCAACUGCAAGCAUAGAUAAACAAGGGACUGAUGUUUUAAACGUCACAGAUAUGUCACAGAAGUGCACGCUCUCCAAGAAACUGACUAGAGCAGUUCUUGUUUUUACCUUAAUUAACUUACUGAACUCCAGGAAAGAAAAUUUCAUGGGAUGACUUUCACAAAAGUCCAUUUUUGACAGAACUCCUUAAGAAAUAACUAUAUUAAACUUUACCGCUCACAUAUGAGAAUACAUUUAAACUUCUGGGUUGUUUUUUUUUGUUUGUUUGUUUGUUUUUUUUUGGUUUUGUUUUGUUUUUCGAGAAUGCAACAUUUUUUUUUUUUUUUUUCCUAAACUUCUCCGUUGUUCUGAAUUUCUACAAUGGAUUUCUCACAAGAUUUUAAGAAAACUUUGUAUUGAACUUAUUACAUAGCAUGGCAAUAUACAACCUAUAGUUAGACAUGUGAGAAAGGGUUUAUCUCCUAUCUGGAAAUAAUCUACUUAAUGAUAACAAAAGCCUUAACAAGAGAAGUAAGAUAAUUAAUGGAAAUUCUCCCCUGGUAACAGAACAAUGUGCUUUGGACUUGUGUUUCAACCAGCACAACCACUCAACAUUGGGAACGACUCAACUCUCUCAGAGCAUGACAUCUGUGAUUAUUAUUGAUAAAUACAUUCUUGUCUUGGGCUGAGCGCACAAUGUAUUUCAAGAGAAGGGAAAAAUCUUCUUUAAAAUUAAAUUACACCAGUCUCCACUCUGCGGGUUGUGCACUGUAUGCACGUAUGCACUCCCAGAGGACACGCUGUACUAGGUACCCAACUUAAUGUCCCAAUAAAAAAUUAAAUGAGGACAUAUGUGCUUAAAGGAUUGGGCCCAGGGAUACAAUGUUUCCUUGCACUAGAAUAAGGUGGAAUGUCUUUUUCAUUCUAUCACUGCUUAUUAGUAGCAAGGAUGUAUUAAUAAUAAAUGCUUAUAUAAAGAAAAGCGAAGUAUUUAUCAUCUGUUCAACACUAUGUCAAAACUCCCUCUUUUCCUCAAACAAGAGAAAUGAAUUUUAAAAUAAAAUAUUGAAGGGGAAACUGUUCCUAUCAAUACUGUACUGCUGGUAAUAAAGUCUGAGAUUAACAAAAUCGA
Oxyura jamaicensis (ruddy duck) is the source of this 3991-nucleotide long non-coding RNA. RefSeq lists it as uncharacterized. The record is from RefSeq and is a predicted model, not a curated record. The transcript is spliced from 2 exons. Lineage: Eukaryota; Metazoa; Chordata; Aves; Anseriformes; Anatidae.